This 375-nucleotide unclassified non-coding RNA is filed under the name uncultured Acaulospora. RNAcentral describes it as "sequence contains ITS1". The stretch from base 1 to 106 matches the Rfam family "5.8S ribosomal RNA", at positions 50 to 154 of the family's 154-position model. Lineage: Eukaryota; Fungi; Glomeromycota; Glomeromycetes; Diversisporales; Acaulosporaceae. The record is from RNAcentral.
AAACUGCGAUAAGUGAUGUGAAUUGCAGGAUUCCGUGAAUCAUCAAAUCUUUGAACGCAAGUUGCACCUCUCGGUUCUCCGGGAGGGUACACUCGUUUGAGCGUCACCCCAUCACCUCAAAAUCCCCUCCAGGAUUUUGGAGACUGGGUUGUCAACAAGACAAUAUCCUUGUUGUCCCCUGAGUUGGAUGGAGGGCAAUGGUGUGGACUCUGAGACAAGAACUACAGUUUUGGGCGGGUCUCAAGACUCUCUCCCCUCAAUUGUGGUGUUUCGUGAGUUCAUGCCAUGUUUUCCAUGGGGAACAACCCAGCAUUGGUUCUGGGUUGCUAUCACUUCAGUGACCUCAAAUCGAGUGAAGCUACCCGCCGAAUUUAA